Molecule: long non-coding RNA, 391 nt
Filed under: Panax ginseng (ginseng)
Lineage: Eukaryota; Viridiplantae; Streptophyta; Magnoliopsida; Apiales; Araliaceae
Description: long non-coding RNA (PGIN_LNC002720)
Source: RNAcentral
UCAAAUAAGCUACAAUUUUUGGGCUGAAUAGACAAGCCAAUCAUCUGAAUGGAUUUUUACUGAUGUUGCCCCCAAAUCCACAACACGAUCGUGAUUGAAAUAAAAUCCCAACAGCAAAAUCUGAUUUGUUCGAAUACUCUCUCUACCCACAAGCUGUUUUGGCAUUUUCAUUCCCUCUGAUUGAGGAGGGUUUUGGAGAAUUUUUGGUAGAUCUGAUGGAAAUGGAGGUGGUGUUAAGAAGAGGGUUUUUGAAGUGGAUUUUGAGGGGAUAGUGUUUGGGAUGACGUGGAUUUGGAGGAGGGGAUUGUGAAAGAGGGUUGCUUCCAUGGUUGAUUUGAUGAUGGUGGAUGAGGAGAGAGAUCGGUUCAUUCCGUGAAGUUUUAAGGUUGAG